GACGAACGCUGGCGGCGUGCUUAACACAUGCAAGUCGAACGGAAAGGCCCUGCUUUUGUGGGGUGCUCGAGUGGCGAACGGGUGAGUAACACGUGAGUAACCUGCCCUUGACUUUGGGAUAACUUCAGGAAACUGGGGCUCAUACCGGAUAGGAGCUCCUGCUGCAUGGUGGGGGUUGGAAAGUUUCGGCGGUUGGGGAUGGACUCUCGGCUUAUCAGCUUGUUGGUGGGGUAGUGGCUUACCAAGGCUUUGACGGGUAGCCGGCCUGAGAGGGUGACCGGCAACAUUGGGACUGAGAUGCGGCACAGACUCCAACGGGAGGAAGCAGUGGGGAAUAGUGCAGAAUGGGCGGAAGCCUGAUGCAGCAACGCCGCGUGCGGGAUGACGGCCUCCGGGUUGUAAACCGCUUUCGCCUGUGACGAAGCGUGAGUGACGGUAAUGGGUAAAGAAGAACCGGCUAACUACGUG
Molecule: ribosomal RNA, 468 nt
Filed under: uncultured bacterium
Lineage: Bacteria
Description: partial 16S ribosomal RNA
Rfam family: Bacterial small subunit ribosomal RNA
Source: RNAcentral